UACGUAGGGUGCAAGCGUUGUCCGGAAUUAUUGGGCGUAAAGAGCUCGUAGGCGGUCUGUCGCGUCUGCUGUGAAAACUCAGGGCUUAACCCUGAGCUUGCAGUGGGUACGGGCAGACUAGAGUGCGGUAGGGGAGACUGGAAUUCCUGGUGUAGCGGUGAAAUGCGCAGAUAUCAGGAGGAACACCGGUGGCGAAGGCGGGGUCUCUGGGCCGUAACUGACGCUGGAGGAG
Molecule: ribosomal RNA, 232 nt
Filed under: uncultured bacterium
Lineage: Bacteria
Description: partial 16S ribosomal RNA
Rfam family: Bacterial small subunit ribosomal RNA
Source: RNAcentral